CCCCUCUCAGGGUGACACCUGAAGAGUUUUCAGUUCUCUAUCAGCCUUGACGACAGGAGGGAGAGUCAAGCAGAGGCAUACCCAUUCCAUUCCUAGCUCGGACAGUGGCUAGCGAGUGGAAGGGAAUCUACCACAAGU
Non-coding RNA from Ornithorhynchus anatinus (platypus), 138 nucleotides. The record is from Rfam. NCBI's taxonomy places the organism in Eukaryota, Metazoa, Chordata, Mammalia, Monotremata, Ornithorhynchidae.